AACGAACGCUGGCGGCAUGCCUAACACAUGCAAGUCGAACGAGACCGUCGGGUCUAGUGGCGCACGGGGGCGUAACGCGGGGGAACCUGCCCUUAGGUUCGGAAUAACUCACCGAAGGGGGUGCUAAGACCGGAUAAUGUCUUAGGACCAAAGAUUUAUCGCCUUUGGAUGGGCCCGCGUUGGAUUAGCUAGUUGGUAGGGUAAAAGCCUAUCAAGGCGACGAUCCAUAGCUGGUGUGAGAGGAUGCUCAGCCACACUGGGCCUGCGACACGGCCCAGACCCCUACGGGAGGCAGCAGUGGGGAAUAUUAGAGAAUGAGCGAUAGCCUGAUCCAGCAGUGCCGGGUGAGUGAUGAAGGCCUUAGGGUUGUAAAGCUGUUUUACCCGGGAUGAUAAUGACAGUACCGGGUGAAUAAGCUCCGGCUAACUCCGUG
This 433-nucleotide ribosomal RNA is filed under the name uncultured bacterium. RNAcentral describes it as "partial 16S ribosomal RNA". It matches the Rfam family "Bacterial small subunit ribosomal RNA", at positions 29 to 507 of the family's 1533-position model. The record is from RNAcentral.